AUGAACGCUGGCGGCGUGCCUAAUACAUGCAAGUCGAGCGAACGGACGAGAAGCUUGCUUCUCUGAUGUUAGCGGCGGACGGGUGAGUAACCCGUGGAUAACCUACCUAUAAGACUGGGAUAACUUCGGGAAACCGGAGCUAAUACCGGAUAAUAUUUUGAACCGCAUGGUUCAAAAGUGAAAGACGGUCUUGCUGUCACUUAUAGAUGGAUCCGCGCUGCAUUAGCUAGUUGGUAAGGUAACGGCUUACCAAGGCAACGAUGCAUAGCCGACCUGAGAGGGUGAUCGGCCACACUGGAACUGAGACACGGUCCAGACUCCUACGGGAGGCAGCAGUAGGGAAUCUUCCGCAAAGGGCGAAAGCCUGACGGAGCAACGCCGCGUGAGUGAUGAAGGUCUUCGGAUCGUAAAACUCUGUUAUUAGGGAAGAACAUAUGUGUAAGUAACUGUGCACAUCUUGACGGUACCUAAUCAGAAAGCCACGGCUAACUACGUG
RNAcentral lists this ribosomal RNA (496 nucleotides) under uncultured bacterium. RNAcentral describes it as "partial 16S ribosomal RNA". It matches the Rfam family "Bacterial small subunit ribosomal RNA", at positions 29 to 507 of the family's 1533-position model. The record is from RNAcentral.